UCGUAACAAGGUCUCCGUUGGUGAACCAGCGGAGGGAUCAUUACCGAGUUUACAACUCCCAAACCCCUGUGAACAUACCAAUUGUUGCCUCGGCGGAUCAGCCCGCUCCCGGUAAAACGGGACGGCCCGCCAGAGGACCCCUAAACUCUGUUUCUAUAUGUAACUUCUGAGUAAAACCAUAAAUAAAUCAAGACUUUCAACAACGGAUCUCUUGGUUCUGGCAUCGAUGAAGAACGCAGCAAAAUGCGAUAAGUAAUGUGAAUUGCAGAAUUCAGUGAAUCAUCGAAUCUUUGAACGCACAUUGCGCCCGCCAGUAUUCUGGCGGGCAUGCCUGUUCGAGCGUCAUUUCAACCCUCAAGCCCAGCUUGGUGUUGGGACUCGCGAGUCAAAUCGCGUUCCCCAAAUUGAUUGGCGGUCACGUCGAGCUUCCAUAGCGUAGUAGUAAAACCCUCGUUACUGGUAAUCGUCGCGGCCACGCCGUUAAACCCCAACUUCUGAAUGUUGACCUCGGAUCAGGUAGGAAUACCCGCUGAACUUAAGCAUAUCA
Molecule: ribosomal RNA, 547 nt
Filed under: uncultured fungus
Lineage: Eukaryota; Fungi
Description: eukaryotic LSU rRNA
Rfam family: 5.8S ribosomal RNA (bases 192-345)
Source: RNAcentral